Molecule: ribosomal RNA, 253 nt
Filed under: uncultured bacterium
Lineage: Bacteria
Description: partial 16S ribosomal RNA
Rfam family: Bacterial small subunit ribosomal RNA
Source: RNAcentral
GACAGAGGGUGCAAACGUUGUUCGGAAUUACUGGGCGUAAAGGGCUCGUAGGCGGCCAACUAAGUCGGAUGUGAAAUCCCCAGGCUUAACCUGGGAACUGCAUUCGAUACUGGAUGGCUUGAAUCCGGGAGAGGGAUGCAGAAUUCCAGGUGUAGCGGUGAAAUGCGUAGAUAUCUGGAGGAAUACCGGUGGCGAAGGCGGCAUCCUGGACCGGCAUUGACGCUGAGGAGCGAAAGCUAGGGGAGCAAACGGG